Molecule: ribosomal RNA, 438 nt
Filed under: uncultured bacterium
Lineage: Bacteria
Description: partial 16S ribosomal RNA
Rfam family: Bacterial small subunit ribosomal RNA
Source: RNAcentral
GAUGAACGCUGGCGGUAUGCUUAACACAUGCAAGUCGAACGCAAACUGUCGGUUCUGAGUGGCGGACGGGUGCAUAACGCCGGAGCAUCUGGCUUCACGGUGUGGACCACCACGGGAAACGGUGGCUAGUACGCAAUGUGCCGCUAAGGUGAAAGAUUAAUUUCCUGAAGAUGUGAUCGCGUCUGAUUAUCUAGUUGGUGGGGUAAGAGCUCACCUAGGCGACGAGCAGGAGCUGGUCUGAGAGGACGAUCAGCCACACGGGGACUGCGACACGGCCCAGACUCCUACGGGAGGCAGCAGGGGGGAAUGGUCCGAAAUGGGCGAAAGCCUGACGGAGCAAUACCGCGUGAGGGAGGAAGGCUCUUGGGGUGUAAACCUCUUUUCUCAGGGAAGAAGGCAAUGACGGUACCUGAGGAAUCAGCAUCGGCUAACUCCGUG